This 4895-nucleotide long non-coding RNA is filed under the name Heterocephalus glaber (naked mole-rat). RNAcentral describes it as "lncRNA (ENSHGLG00000049787.1)". The stretch from base 493 to 565 matches the Rfam family "mir-122 microRNA precursor family". Lineage: Eukaryota; Metazoa; Chordata; Mammalia; Rodentia; Bathyergidae. The record is from RNAcentral.
ACAAUGCCCAUGUCACCCCUUUGGCCUCCAUGUCUGUCUGCUGGAGGCCACACACACAGCAGAGCUGGGUAUGCUAGACAUUCGGUCUUGCUUAGUGUUUGACCAAAGGUGAUGCUGAUUUAGUGGACUAAGGUCAUGCCCUCCCUUCUCCCACAAUCAAUAAUUUAAUGUGACUUAUCAGAAACAGAAAGAAUUGUUUACUUUUAAACCCUGGAUCCCAUAAAGGGAGACGGGAGAGGCCUAAAAGCGACAGAAACGCAGGACUCUCGCCCCUACACACCUUCCUGCCAGCCAGAGGAGGGGUCUGGGACUGAGAGAAGACCAGUGCUGACUGAGAUUAUUCAAAACCAAACAAAGCCAUCAUGGAGAACAGUGGGUUCCAGACACUUGGGUCACAUAUGUGGAGCUGGAAAGGAUCCCUGAUGAUUGGCAGUGACAAUGGUGGAAUGUGGAGGUGAAGUUAACACCUUCACACCUACAGAUUUCCCUUAGCAGAGCUGUGGAGUGUGACAAUGGUGUUUGUGUCCAAACUAUCAAACGCCAUCAUCACACUAAAUAGCUACUGCUAGGCAAUCCUUCCACUCAGUAUAAGUCUUGGCAACUGUUUGGUCUGGGCAAGAAGGCUCAUCUUAUACCAACCAGUGUUCUCUAUCAUGUGUAACUUGGAAUAAAGUCUGAUACUCUUGUGGUCAUAACUAUUUGCCUGCCUGAACCCUGCCUCUCACACGCUGUUGUUAAAUAGAUGAUAAUUCUGAUGAUAAAGAAAAAACAACUCAAAAUCAGUUUCUCCCAUUGUACACUCACAACACAAAUCACUUCUGGCACCAGAUAUUUGAGGAUCUCUCCCCAACAAGCAAGCAGUUAAUUCCACAGCAGACUCCAUCUGGGAGUCCUCUAAUCUAGUUCUGCUCUGACACUCUACCUGGAGAUAUUGUCACAUGCCACAGGGUGAAGGCUCAGUCCUCAAGAAGGCACCUCAUUCAGAUGUCAGGCACAAGCCCCAGAUUGUUUUCCCUGUGCUUCUGACCUACUUUCGAUAAAUCAGGGUUCCCACAUUGCCUCCUCGAGUUCAAUUCAUUUGUUUGAGCAGCUCACAGAACUCAGGGAAAGAUAUACUUACCUUUAAAAGCUUAUUAUAAAGCAGACGAUAAAGGCUACAAAGGAAGAGAUGCACAGAGUGAGUUUAGGGGUAGUGGGUGUAGAGCUUCCACACCCCUUCUAAGAGUGCCAUCCUCCAGUACCCUCCAUGUGUUCAGUUACCCGGAAGCUCUCUGAACUCUGUCCUUUUGGGAUUUUUAUGGAGACUUCAUUGCACACACAUGACUGAAACUUGUAUAGCCAUGUUGAAAUGUGAUUGGAUGAAAGAGAAUGAUCUAAUGAAUAGACUGGGUGGGAAAGCCUAGCAAGGACUGUCUGUCCAGAUUCUUAGCCUUUCUGUGCAGCAUUCCAUUCUUGUGGGCCUGGGGUAGCACCCCCUCCAUGUGAGGAGGUUCGAAUGACAACUAUCACGUGAGGUAGGCCGGAGUUAUAACCAGGAACUGUGGUUCAAAAUAGGUAUAAAUCAUAAUAUCACAGUGACAAUGAAUUUUCUUAUUUUCUCCAAGUCAAUAAAAAGAUUGGAGUCCUGUAGAGCCCCCAGCACAAGGUUAGGCACCUGGUAAUCAUUUAACUCAUGCCUACUCCGUUGAAAUGAAUAGUUAGGAAAGUAGAAAACUAAAACUCGGUUAAAUCUAGUUUAGGCAAACCACAGCCUCAUAGGUGCUAAGUUAAGGUAUGUGGGUCUUCCGCUUUAUAAAAAAAAUACAGUUUAAAAAAACCCAACAAUAAACUUGUCCAUGACUUAAAUGACCUUUCGGAAAUUCCAGAACAUCUUUGAUUUCUACUUAUUUUAACCAAUUACCAGGCGGAUUGCUCAAUUUGUAUGCUAAUUUCUUCUUCCUUAUGUUUCAAUGAAUUGCCAUUAGAAAGAUUAUAUAUAAAUCAUGUAUAAACUGCCAGAGCAAAUCUGAACAUUUUUAAGCCAUGCGGUUUCUUGGACAGUUGGCCCAGCUGGGUGGUCUGGUUUGGAACACAGUCUCUCUCCGAGGGCAUCUAAAGUAACAAGUAGAUUCUGUGUGUGGGCUAAAGCUUCUCCCCUGUGUCUUGGCUAGAUAAUCUAGGAUAUGUUUGAUCAAAUUGACAGGAUUGGAUCAACUGCUAGAACUAAAUCAAUCAAUCUUCAUUUAUCAAAUAAAUAUGUGCACACGGACUCCCAUGUAGCUGGCACUAGCUUAGGCCCUGGAAAUAUUUUAAAAUUAAGUGUGUCUGGCAUUGUUUCCAGAGAUAGACAUUCACUGGCUCACAUUCUGUUAUUAUGGGAUAAUUCUAAUAGUCCAAAUUACAUUUAUUACAGAAUCCAAUGAGCAAAACUUUGCAAACUGAUUCCAAGUCCCUUGCUGGAAUGCACCAGUGAGUGCAGCCCACACAGCUAGGAUCUACUGCAAAAGUUUCAAGGUCAGGAGAACUUAUUGUCCAGAGAAGAAAGGGAAGUGCAUUCCUGCCUGCCCUCACUUCCACCUCCCAUUUCUUCCCUUCUGGCAUCCUCAACUGUCAAGAGGAGAUCUAGAUCCCCCUGAAAUAAUCCAUACCCUCACAUUCUUUCUCAUGUGUGUGUGUUUUAAGAGAAAGCACUAUUGACAAGAAUUAAUCAAGGGCUUUACUAUUAUAAGAAUCACUUCCAUGAAUACUGUUUCAUUUGGCCCGUACAACACAGGGCAAAGAUGACAGGAUAUAGUCCCCUCCUACAGAAGGAAAAUGAAGACUCCAAAUGUUUUUGAACCAUCUGGUUAUGUAACCAUAAUUCAACAUAGUCCUCUUAAAUCUAAAGUUCUGUGCUUUACUUAUAUCCUUCCUUGGGCAGGUUAUUUCACAAAACCUCAUGCUUCAUGGCUGAGGUUAUGUAGAAACUGGAUUAAUCAUACCCCUAUUCGAUCCAUAUCUUCAGUUUCCCAUCUGCUUUGUUGAUGGAUUCUAGGGGAAACCCCAUAAAUAAAAGAGAUGAGUCAUAUAACGAUCUCCCCUUGUGAACACUCAUAAUGCAGAGAAAGCCUAAUAUUGCAAAACAUUGCAAUAGAAAAAUAAAAGAGAAGUAACACCUAUGUGGCAGUUUUGAGGUAAGGAAGGGGGUGGUCAAGUUGUCCAGACAUGGAACAGCCAUUCUAGUAAUCUGGCCCACUGAGGCAGCACUGGAUCAUUCAGCGCUCUCAGACUUGAAGGUGAUGUGACCACUUGACCCACUCAUUCUUCUUUGCUAUACUCACCCUAAGAGUUUGCUCGGGUGGAACUAUACUGGGAGCAAAUAGAAGAGGAUUCUAUAGUAUAUCUUUUUUUACCAGCUCUGCUCAUUGUAUGGCUUAUUGUAAUUGCUGCCUGGAUUAAUUCUGCAUUCAAGAUUGGAUGUCUGUUCUUUCUGUAGAUCUCUAAGGAACACACAUAGAAGACAAAACAUCCACAUCCCCACUUUAAAGACACUUUUUUCUUUUGGUACCAGGGAUCGAACUCUGGACCUUGCGCUUGAGAGGCAGGCGGCGGAACCACUGAGAUAAAUCCCUGGCCCUUUAAAGACACUUUUAAUACAAUCCUGCUGCUCCAAAUCUCCAAUGACAGCCUCCUUUCCCAAACCAACUUUCACCUCCUCUUCAGCCCCAGGGAUGAUAUGGCCAGUCAUUUCCAAUAAAGCAUUAAUGGGGAUAGUUACUGACUCCAAAUGUGCUUCACAUGCUGACAGGCCAACUGGGCCAUGAAGUUAAAAAUCACACUGGAGCUGGGGAGGCAGCAGGACACAUAGGCAGCCACAGUGUCUUGUUUUCUUCUCCAGGCCAGGGCAACUGAGCCUCCCUUUGCUUUGUGGAUCAUGCCAGUGAGGUCCUAUGCACCCUUCCAUCUUGGUUACAGUGGGUUCCAUGAACAUGACAACUACAGCUUAGGGCCUGCCUCGCUUUUUUUUUCCAGCUCCAGGAGAGGUUUUGUGAAAUCAUAGCAUAGCUAGCAUAUGUCAAUGCCUCAUCCACACAUUUUUUUCUGAAUUCUUCUUGAACCUGUAAACCUUUCCACUUAUAUACUUCCUAGAGAAAACAGUAGAAUCCUAGAGCUGGAAACCAGUUUGCCUUUUUUUCUGGUGAGGAAAUUGAAGGACAGGUAUUGCAGAAUUGUCUGGCUAGCUCCAGUUUUAUACCUUCCCUCCCUGACAUCAUCAGCCAUUCACUGAUCAGACCUCUGUCGUGUGGUUACUAUGUGCCUGAUAUUGAAAUGGGCUCUGGGGAUGCAAAAAAGAAGGAGGCUGUGUCCUUUCCCCAACUGGUCUCAGUCUAGGAGUUGGAUAGAUGCCUAAAUACAUCUACACCUCACUGUAUGAGAUGCCAGCACAGAGACAGAGACAGGGACCUGAGAGACUUGAAUUACAUCCUUCAUUUCUUUCCAGAUUAAAAAAAAACUCCGAGUCCUUGAUAUUAUGAUCUUUUUUUGCUACCUCGAAGAAUAUAAUCCUUCUUGUUUAUUUUGGUGAUUUAAUUGCCAAUGGGUCACGGGGGAAAGGCAUUUUUUUGUCUUGAGUGACAAUACUGUAAUAUGAAGAUAUGCUGUUUCUACUGUGCUGCUUGCCAGCCUAAUGAUUAGCCCAAGAUCUACUGGGGCUAGAGGAUGGAUCAGUAGGCUUUUCCAUUAUGUGUGUGAAGAAUUUUAAUUUCCCAAAGGAAGGGGGUAGAAUCUGAGCUGUUUGCUCACAAUAAGGGCUAGGCUGAUAAUAAAUGUACACUACCAAGGCAUUAGGCCUUCUUCUCCCAAGUCACAAAAGGCCUACUCCUUUGGGACAGGCUCAAGGAAGCUGCUGAGCGCAAACCCAUGGCAGGUUCCCUCUG